This 22-nucleotide microRNA is filed under the name Brassica rapa (field mustard). Its description in RNAcentral is "bra-miR5718". The record is from miRBase by way of RNAcentral. Lineage: Eukaryota; Viridiplantae; Streptophyta; Magnoliopsida; Brassicales; Brassicaceae.
UCAGAACCAAACACAGAACAAG